This 564-nucleotide long non-coding RNA is filed under the name Lathyrus oleraceus (garden pea). RNAcentral describes it as "Pisum sativum (pea) long non-coding RNA (PSAT_LNC011331)". Lineage: Eukaryota; Viridiplantae; Streptophyta; Magnoliopsida; Fabales; Fabaceae. The record is from RNAcentral.
UAUGCCUAUGAGUUCUUAUAAAAAAAUUUACCUCAAAAAUGUGUGUGUGUGUGUGUGUGUGUGUGUGUGUGUGUGUGUGUGUGUGUGUGAGUGAGUGAGAGAGAGAGAGAGAGAUCUUGCACAAGUGGCGCAGCAUGCUGGUAGGGUUUUUUUUGGGGAUCCCUCUCCUCAUUGCAAACCAUUAGUAUAUAUAGGUGUUAUUUAGGGUUUUGAUAAAAUUUGAAAAUCCACAGAUGCCUUGAAGGAGCUUAUUAUUGCAAAAACUAGUUAAAAACAAAUUGAAUCGAAUAAAAUAACAUCAAUGGAAAUAAUCAAAGUUAAUUUGAAACAAAAAUAUAGAAAAUUCUAUUUAUUUAUAUCGAAUACUUUGACAAAAAAAAGGACUCAAAAUGAAUAAAAAUUGGGCGCGAAAGUGCUGGGAAAAAUAAAUUGAAUGCAUCUAAAUGAUCAAUGCGAAAUAAACUUUUGGAAAACAUACAAGUUUUGCUCAAAUUUUGAAGUAAAAAAUAACCGGUUAAAAGGCUCGGCCUGAUUAAAAUGUGAUCCGAAAAAAAUCAAAAAAAU